UUCUUUCGUUAUUUGAAAUUUGAAUUUUGUGGAAUGGGAAUUGAAAUAUCAAGUUUUACGAUGAAGAAUUCAUUUGUUUUUAUUAGAUAAUUUAUACCUAAUUUUAUUUCCUAGACGUCAAAACGACUAAAAUAACCCUGGUUUAUACUGUUAUUAAUAAUAAAAUUGGUGGGAAUAUAAAAGAAAGUCAACAUUUUAAGAAGAGAAUGAUCGGGGAGCAAGUAGUAUUGUCUUAAUGAUUUGGCACUCAACAGUGCAAAAGAGAUUGCUUACUGUAAUAAGGGAAAGUUAAGUAUGUCAAAAAGCAAAGUAAACAAAGGAAUGGCAUCUAUAGCAACAAACCAUUUCUUUAACAAACAACAAAACAUGUUACAUAAGCUAUAGACUUAAAAUUAAAAUAUUUUAGAAUAGCCGUUCUGUAGACUUAAAAGUAAUUGACCCAGAAAACCAAAAUAAUACAAUAAAGAACAAUUUUAUGAGAGAUAUCAUUAAUCAGAACCAAUUAUUGAUAGAAAAUGUAUAUCAAAGUUACUAAUAAAAUUAGAAAAUUAGUAAAAUGGUUUUGAAUUGAAUUUGAUUGUAUUUACAGCAUUCAGGAAAGUGAAGUAUUGCAUUAACAAUAUAUGAAUUUCAAUUGUAUCUCUAAUUAGAAGUAAUCUCCAAUUUAAUGAUCAUACAACAUAAAAUGUCUUUGUAUUCCAAAAUAGAUAUCAAGUGUGCAGCUAUUCCCAGUCUCUGGAGAAUGUAAAUAAAACACACGAGAGUCCGUGUCGUUCCAUCGUGAUUGGUCGAGAGACUGUCACGUGACUCGCGGCUCUCUCUCGGCCAAUCACAAUCGUUAAAACCAAACGACGCGCACAUUCGCUUCCUAUUAUGCGACAUUCUACUGCAAAUGAUUUUUCUAUGUUUGCUUAAUAAUUCUAAAUGUAGUAUUAUAAUAUUUUGUUGAACGUAAGACAAUAGUAGUACUUAACUAGUUAGUGGGAUAUUGUAUCACAUUUCUUUUUAUGAAUUUGUUAAAAAUAAUAAAUCAUUUUUUAAAAUUAAGUAUAUCUUAGUUUUUUCUACUUUUAAUCGUAAGAAGUGGUAUUAGUUUCAUGUCACUGUGGGAAUCUUUAUUAUUCUUAUAUUUAUACAUUUGAUAAACCAUUUUUUGUGUGGUUUGCAUAUAUGUGAACACUACGAGUCGAUUUUGUAUGUUUACUUCGAUAAAAUCUAAGGAAACUCGAUUAAAAAUGUGAAUAAAGCUAAGAAAUGUGGUUCACAUAAAAAACAAUACUACGUCUCAAAUUUGUAUAUUUUGAUAAAGUGUAUGAAAAUCCGGUCAAAAUUUCGAAUAAAUCUAGGGAGUAGCAAGA
This 1358-nucleotide long non-coding RNA is filed under the name Manduca sexta (tobacco hornworm). RNAcentral's name for it is "uncharacterized LOC119193522, transcript variant X2". The record is from RNAcentral. Lineage: Eukaryota; Metazoa; Arthropoda; Insecta; Lepidoptera; Sphingidae.